AAUAUUGGACAAUGGGGGCAACCCUGAUCCAGCCAUGCCGCGUGUGUGAAGAAGGUCUUCGGAUUGUAGAGCACUUUAAGUUGGGGGGAAGUGCUUUGGGUUAGUACCCUGAAGUUUUGACGUUACCAACAGAAUAAGCACCGGCUCACUCUGUGCCAGCCGCCGCGGUAAUACAGAGGGUGCAAGCGUUAAUCGGGAUUACUGGGCGUAAAGCGCGCGUAGGUUGUUCAGUAAGAUGGGUGUGAAAUCCCCGGGCUUAACCUGGGAACUGCUUUCAUAACUGCUGAGCUAGAGUACGGUAGAGGGUAGUGGAAUUUCCUGUGUAGCGGUGAAAUGCGUAGAUAUAGGAAGGAACACCAGUGGCGAAGGCGACUACCUGGACUGAUACUGACACUGAGGUGCGAAAGCGUGGGGAGCAAACA
Molecule: ribosomal RNA, 422 nt
Filed under: uncultured bacterium
Lineage: Bacteria
Description: partial 16S ribosomal RNA
Rfam family: Bacterial small subunit ribosomal RNA
Source: RNAcentral